This 439-nucleotide ribosomal RNA is filed under the name uncultured bacterium. RNAcentral describes it as "partial 16S ribosomal RNA". It matches the Rfam family "Bacterial small subunit ribosomal RNA", at positions 338 to 795 of the family's 1533-position model. The record is from RNAcentral.
CCUACGGGGGGCAGCAGUGGGGAAUAUUGCACAAUGGGCGAAAGCCUGAUGCAGCAACGCCGCGUGAGCGAUGAAGGCCUUCGGGUCGUAAAGCUCUGUCCUCAAGGAAGAUACUGACGGUACUUGAGGAGGAAGCCCCGGCUAACUACGUGCCAGCAGCCGCGGUAAUACGUAGGGGGCUAGCGUUAUCCGGAAUUACUGGGCGAAAAGGGUGCGUAGGUGGUUUCUUAAGUCAGAGGUGAAAGGCAACGGCUCAACCGUAGUAAGCCUUUGAAACUGGGGAACUUGAGUGCAGGAGAGGAGAGUGGAAUUCCUAGUGUAGCGGUGAAAUGCGUAGAUAUUAGGAGGAACACCAGUUGCGAAGGCGGCUCUCUGGACUGUAACUGACACUGAGGCACGAAAGCGUGGGGAGCAAACAGGAUUAGAUACCCGGGUAGUC